Molecule: ribosomal RNA, 363 nt
Filed under: uncultured Anaerolineaceae bacterium
Lineage: Bacteria; Bacillati; Chloroflexota; Anaerolineae; Anaerolineales; Anaerolineaceae
Description: bacterial SSU rRNA
Rfam family: Bacterial small subunit ribosomal RNA
Source: RNAcentral
AAGGGAAACUGACGACCUCGGGAGCUGUCAGGUGCUGCAUGGCUGUCGUCAGCUCGUGUCGUGAGAUGUUCGGUUAAGUCCGCUAACGAGCGCAACCCUCGCUGUGUGUUACAAGUGUCACACGGAACUGCCGGUCAUAAACCGGAGGAAGGUGGGGAUGACGUCAAGUCAGCAUGGCCUUUAUAUCCUGGGCUACACACACGCUACAAUGGGAAGGGACAAUAGGUUGCGAAGCCGCGAGGCGGAGCCAAUCCAGCAAAACUUCCCUCAGUUCAGAUUGCAGGCUGCAACCCGCCUGCAUGAAGUUGGGGUUGCUAGUAAACGCAGGUCAGCCAUACUGCGUUGAAUACGUUCCCGGGGCUU